Long non-coding RNA from Solanum lycopersicum (tomato), 1394 nucleotides. RefSeq lists it as uncharacterized. The record is from RefSeq and is a predicted model, not a curated record. NCBI's taxonomy places the organism in Eukaryota, Viridiplantae, Streptophyta, Magnoliopsida, Solanales, Solanaceae.
AUUUUCUAACAGAAAUUAUGUUGAUACUGAUAAUCCAUUAAAAACAAGAAAAUACUUCGAGUUCAUUCUUGUUGAUACUUGUCCAAUUGAAGUUGAACACAAACUUAAUGAAAACUUUGAUGUGACCAAGAGGGUCAUCCCAAGAUGGUUUUACGAAUGGUGGAACUGUUUUGGCAGUAAUAAACAAGUUCUGCCAAAAAACAUUGCUGAGAAAUUAAAUUAGUUUCACAUAGAUCAAGACAUAUCUUCUCUCCUAGAGAAUAUAAAAUUAUGUAAAUAUUUUAUUCCAAAAAGUAUUUUUUAUAUUAAUAGUUGGACUUUCUGUAUUGCAGAAUUGUACAGGAUAAAGUAUUUGUCAAGAGAAGUCCUGAUUAAAGGAUGGUCUCCAGCUCCAAAAGAAGCUGCAAAUCAUCAACCAAUCGAUCUCUAGAAGAUCUCCCCAGAAGACUUUAUCUGAGAAAGAACUGAAGAUAAGAUAACAAAGGCCUUGUCAGACUUAGACUCUGAAGAUAAUGAACAGUCUAUAAUGAAGCUCCUUGAAGAAGCUUCAUCCUCUCAUAGUGACAAUAAUGGAGAAAAACCUAAAGUUUUGGCACAGUCUUAUUUCGAUCCAUUUUAUGAUUAAUCACUAGUUGAGGGUAUUAAAAUCUGAAAUAACUAGUGUUUCAGAUAGAGACCCAGAAUAACUAGUGUUUCAGAUAGAGGCCAAUAGAGCUAGAAUUAUCUAGAAAGAAAAGGAAGAGUCCCAAAGAGAUGGAAUUUCCUUUUGAUAAAAUUAUUAAGUAGAAUUUUUCAGGACCCACAAAGCAUGAUCAACAAAGCAUUAUCAACAAUUAUGGCCGACAAAAGUGGCUGACGUAACCUUAUCAAAAGAUAAAGGUGAACAUACUUUUCAAAAGAAAAUGAAAUACUUUUUUUAUCAAAAGCAACGGACGGAAAUCAACAACCAAUCAGAAGAAGAGCUUUUAGAUUUCCCUUAUCCUUUCAAGAUUAUUUAAGACUUCAUCCUUAAAGAAGAAAUCGAAGACCGAAAAACCAACAAGGCACUUUGUAAUUUUUCAUCAAUGUUUUUACUUCUCUCUAUAUGUAAAUUCUGAAGCUUCCACAAUAUAUAUAGAAAAGAAAUCUGUCCAAAGUUGAAUGCGGAGAUUUUGAGCGAAGAAAUGCAGAAGAAACCACCUACGGAGCUGAUGACGGUCCGUCGUGCUUGCGACUGUCCGUAGGUUGCAGUGUAGAGAAGCUGCUGAAGGAAGAUGGGGAAGUCUGACCAAGUGUGGGGUUACGUAUCUUGUGACGGUCCGUCGUGGCUAUGACGGUCCGUCCUGCAGGUUCGUCAUGAAGUUCAGAGAAGUGAUCCCAGUACCCAGAAUCCAAGAGUUAAAGUGUUUUGAAAA